AUGGCCGAGGGGGCCAGGCCCCGUCCCGCCUGGGCUCAGCGGGCAGGGCAGGAGCUGGCCCUGGGCCAUGGAGGGAGGGCUUUGGUCCCGCCGCCGCACUGGCCGGUGCCGUGUGGCUUUGGGUGUGGAGCCGUGAGCCCGGAGCUGCACCGCUCGGAGUGGACGGGUGUCUGCUGCUGCUCCGGGUGUCCCUGUGUCCGGGUGUCCCUGUGUGUGUCCCUUCAUCCACGGGUCUGUGCAUCCGGACACUUUGGCAUCCAUGUGCUCACGUGUCUGUGUGUCCUCGCACCGGUACAUCCAUCUGUCCCUGCAUCUCUGCAUCCAUACAUCCCUGCCCCUGUAUAUCCGUGUGUCCAUGCGUCCAUGCAUCCAUCCCUCCCUGCAUCCAUGUGUCCGUGCAUCCAUACACCCCUACAUCCCGAUGUCCGUGCGUCCCUGUGCCUCUGCGUUGGUGAAUCCGUACGUCCAUGUAUCCAUAUGUCCAUGUGUUUGUCCCUGCAUCCAUAUGUUUGUGUAUCCAUGUGUCUGUAUAUCCAUGUGUCUGUAUAUCCAUGUGUCUGUGUGUCCUUGCACCAGUGCAGCCAUGUAUCCAUACAUCCCUCUAACCAUGUGUCUGUGUGUCCAUACAUCCCUGGAUCCCAGUAUCCACGUAUCCGUGUGUCCGUGCGUCAGUACAUCCCUAUGGCUGUGCAUCCAUCUCUCCUUGCAUCCGUGUCUAUGUAUCCAAACAUCCCUCAUCCUUGUACCUGUGCAUCGGUCUGUCCGUGUGUCUGUGCAUCAGUGCAUCCCUGCAUCCAUGUAUCCAUACAUCCCUGUGGCUGUAUAUCCAUGUGUCCAUGCAUCAGUCCAUCCAUAUAUCCAUAUACCAGUGUGUCCAUGCGUCCAUGUGUCCGUGUGUCCAUGCAUCCAUACACUUGUCCACGUGCCCGACCAUCCGUGUGUCCAUCCAUCUGUGUGCCCGUAUCCACGCAUCCAUGUGCAUCCAUGCAUCCGUGUGUCCGUACCUGCCCCCUUGAAGGUGCCCUGGAUUCUGCACCGUGGGUGGGAUGUGACAGGGCAGGGGGUGGUGGCAGCUGGUGGCCACGUCCCCAGGGCUCGGGAUGUCCCUGCUGGGCCCCAAACCUGCCGUUUCCCAGCCCGGGAGCAGCGUCUCCGGCCGGAGCAGGGACAGGGCCGCGGGGGCUGUGCUCAACCACAACAAAAAGGGAGGAAAUAGCUGCUUUUUGGAGAAUAGACGGAAAAGUCCUGGCCCUCCAUGAGCCCGGGCGUGUGCCCGUGAGUCCCACCCUGUCAGCGUGCCCAGCCCCACCUCCGCUGCCCACACUGUCCCCGCGCUCCCCACGCAGGAUUUGGGUGGCUUUGCUGGGAUUUAGCAGCUGGGCUCUGUCACUGAGCCGGGCUGCCGUGCCCUGUCCCCCCCCGGCUGGCCACACGGAGCCCCAGAGCCACCCCAUGGCAGUGGCUUGUCCCAUCUGUCCUGUCCUGUCUGCCCCAUCCCAUCCCAUCCCAUCCCAUCUCCCAUCACAUUUGUCCCAUCAUGUCCCAUCCUGUCCCAUCCCGUCCUGUCUGCUCUGUCCCAUCCCAUCCUGUCUGUCCUGUUUCAUCCCAUCUGUCCCAUCGUGUCCCAUCCCGCCCGUGUCUGUCCUGUCCCAUCCCAUGGUAUCCCAUCCAGUCCCGUCUCAUCCCAUCAGGUCUGUCCUGUCCCAUCCCAUGCUGUCCUGUCAUGUUUGUCCCAUCCACUAUGUCCCAUCCCACCCUGUCUGUCCUACUCUGCCCUGUCCCAUCCUACCUGUCCCAUCUUGUCCCAUCAUGUACUGUCUGCACUGUCCCAUCCCGUCCUCCUCUCCUGUCCAUCCCAUCCUGUCCUGUCCCAUCCCGCCAACCUGUCCCAUGCCAACACUGUGCCAUGCCAUGCCAUGCCAUUCCAUCCCAUCCCGUCCCAUCCCCAUCCUGUCCCAUCUCUCCAUGUCUGUCCUGUCCCAUCCCUCCAUCCUGUCCCAUGCCAAUGCUGUCCCACCCCAUCCCGUCCCAUCCCAUCAUGUCUGUCCCAUCCCGCCCUUGUCCCAUCAUGUCUGUCCCAUCGCAUCCCCAUCCCAUCCUGUCCUGUCUCAUCAUGUCUGUCCUGUCCCAUCCCUCCAUCCUGUCCCAUGCCAAUGCUGUCCCUUCCCAUCCCAUCCCAUCACGUCUGUCUUGUCCCAUCUGUCCCAUCCCAUCCUGUCCCAUCAUGUCUGUCCUGUCUCAUGUUGUUCUGUGCCAUCCCAUCCCAUCCCAUCCCAUCUCAUCAUGUCUGUCCUGUCCCAUGUGUCCCACUGCAUCCUGUCCCAUCAUGUCUGUCCCAUCCUGUCCCAUCAUGUCUAUCCCAUCCCAUCCCAUCCCAUCCCAUCCCAUCCCAUCCCAUCGUGUCUGUCCUGUCCCAUUUGUCCUGUUUGUCCCAUUCCAUGCCACCCCAUGCCACACCACCCCAUGCCACGCUAUCCCAUCCUGUCUGGACCCAUCCCAUCCCAUGGGAUUUGGGGGGUGUACACAUGCAGGUGUGCAAUUGAGCCCUCCCCACUCCCACUCAGUACCCCCAGUCCACCCCCAGAGCCUCCAGUACCGCCCAGUGCCCCCCAGUACCCGCUGAGGGAUGCCCACGGGCUGGUCCCCCUCAGGCCUGACGGAGGACGAGGACGUCCAGCGGAUGCUGCGGGGCUCCCUGCUCUGGAAGAUCAAGUCCCGGGGGGGCCCCAGGGAGCGGCUCUUCCGCCUGCAGGAGGACGGGGCGACCGUCUGCUUCGAGGGGGGCUUCAGGCGCGCCCGCUCCCAGCAGAGCUGUGA
This 2817-nucleotide long non-coding RNA is filed under the name Calidris pugnax (ruff). RNAcentral's name for it is "lncRNA (ENSCPUG00000010990.1)". Lineage: Eukaryota; Metazoa; Chordata; Aves; Charadriiformes; Scolopacidae. The record is from RNAcentral.